GUAGGGGGCAAGCGUUAUCCGGAUUUAUUGGGUGUAAAGGGAGCGUAGACGGCGAUACAAGUCUGAAGUGAAAGCCCGUGGCUCAACCGCGGAACUGCUUUGGAAACUGUUAAGCUGGAGUACUGGAGAGGCAAGCGGAAUUCCUAGUGUAGCGGUGAAAUGCGUAGAUAUUAGGAGGAACACCAGUGGCGAAGGCGGCUUGCUGGACAGAGACUGACGUUGAGGCUCGAAAGCGUGGGGAGCAA
This 245-nucleotide ribosomal RNA is filed under the name uncultured bacterium. RNAcentral's name for it is "partial 16S ribosomal RNA". It matches the Rfam family "Bacterial small subunit ribosomal RNA", at positions 527 to 771 of the family's 1533-position model. The record is from RNAcentral.